RNAcentral lists this ribosomal RNA (844 nucleotides) under Vibrio sp. IO3. Its description in RNAcentral is "bacterial SSU rRNA". It matches the Rfam family "Bacterial small subunit ribosomal RNA", at positions 533 to 1378 of the family's 1533-position model. The record is from RNAcentral. Lineage: Bacteria; Pseudomonadati; Pseudomonadota; Gammaproteobacteria; Vibrionales; Vibrionaceae.
UGCGAGCGUAAUCGGAAUACUGGGCGUAAAGCGCAUGCAGGUGGUUCGUUAAGUCAGAUGUGAAAGCCCGGGGCUCAACCUCGGAACUGCAUUGAAACUGGCGGACUAGAGUACUGUAGAGGGGGGUAGAAUUUCAGGUGUAGCGGUGAAAUGCGUAGAGAUCUGCAAGGAAUACCAGUGGCGAAGGCGGCCCCCUGGACAGAUACUGACACUCAGAUGCGAAAGCGUGGGGAGCAAACAGGAUUAGAUACCCUGGUAGUCCACGCCGUAAACGAUGUCUACUUGGAGGUUGUGGCCUUGAGCCGUGGCUUUCGGAGCUAACGCGUUAAGUAGACCGCCUGGGGAGUACGGUCGCAAGAUUAAAACUCAAAUGAAUUGACGGGGGCCCGCACAAGCGGUGGAGCAUGUGGUUUAAUUCGAUGCAACGCGAAGAACCUUACCUACUCUUGACAUCCAGAGAAGCCAGCGGAGACGCAGGUGUGCCUUCGGGAACUCUGAGACAGGUGCUGCAUGGCUGUCGUCAGCUCGUGUUGUGAAAUGUUGGGUUAAGUCCCGCAACGAGCGCAACCCUUAUCCUUGUUUGCCAGCGAGUAAUGUCGGGAACUCCAGGGAGACUGCCGGUGAUAAACCGUUGGAACCUUGGGACGACGUCAAGUCAUCAUGGCCCUUACGAGUAGGGCUACACACGUGCUACAAUGGCGCAUACAGAGGGCAGCAAGCUAGCGAUAGUGAGCGAAUCCCAAAAAGUGCGUCGUAGUCCGGAUUGGAGUCUGCAACUCGACUCCAUGAAGUCGGAAUCGCUAGUUAUCGUAGAUCAGAAUGCUACGGUGAAUACGUUCCCGGG